This 43-nucleotide non-coding RNA is filed under the name Schistosoma mansoni. The record is from RNAcentral. Lineage: Eukaryota; Metazoa; Platyhelminthes; Trematoda; Strigeidida; Schistosomatidae.
CUGCUGAGGAGUCUCACAAUAGGACGAAACGACCGUCGAACAG